UUGCCUUAGUAACGGCGAGUGAAGCGGCAAUAGCUCAAAUUUGAAAUCUGGCUCUUUCAGAGUCCGAGUUGUAAUUUGUAGAGGAUGCUUCGGCUUACGCCCCGGUCUAAGUUCCUUGGAACAGGACGUCACAGAGGGUGAGAAUCCCGUUUGUGGCCGGCGGCUUCCGCCAUGUGAAGCUCCUUCGACGAGUCGAGUUGUUUGGGAAUGCAGCUCUAAAUGGGAGGUAAAUUUCUUCUAAAGCUAAAUACUGGCCAGAGACCGAUAGCGCACAAGUAGAGUGAUCGAAAGAUGAAAAGCACUUUGGAAAGAGAGUUAAAAAGUACGUGAAAUUGUUGAAAGGGAAGCGCUUGCGACCAGACUUGCCCGCGGAUGCUCAGCCGGUCCUUCGGCCGGUGCACUCUUCCGCGGUCAGGCCAGCAUCGGUUCGGGCGGUCGGAUAAAGGCCUUGGGAAUGUGGCUCCUUUCGGGGAGUGUUAUAGCCCUCGGUGCAAUACGGCCUGCCUGGACCGAGGCCCGCGCUUCGGCUAGGAUGCUGGCGUAAUGGUCGUAAGCGGCCCGUCUUGAAACACGGACCAAGGAGUCUAACAUCUAUGCGAGUGUUUGGGUGUCAAACCCGUGCGCGAAAUGAAAGUGAACGGAGGUGGGAACCCUCGGGUGCACCAUCGACCGAUCCUGAUGUCUUCGGAUGGAUUUGAGUAAGAGCAUAGCUGUUGGGACCCGAAAGAUGGUGAACUAUGCCUGAAUAGGGUGAAGCCAGAGGAAACUCUGGUGGAGGCUCGCAGCGGUUCUGACGUGCAAAUCGAUCGUCAAAUUUGGGUAUAGGGGCGAAAGACUAAUCGAACCAUUCAGCGUGGGUGUGCACGUUGACGUCUUGGAAUAUCAGUUUACCCCCUCCUAUAGGGGGUAGAGUGUUGUAAGGCGUUGGCGUUGGCAAUAUCCUUUAUCAAACAUGCUUAUUGUUUGCUGCUAGGUGGUUAAGAGGCGGCUAAAAGGGCCUGCCUAGUCCCUUCAUUCGGGGCGACACCGUCAAAUUGCGGGGACUUCCUGAGAGCCUGAACUACCGCGGCCUGCCGAAAGGUUAGGCGCAGCACCGGGGUAAUGACCUAGGGUAUGGUAAAAACGUUCAGGAUUGGAUAAUCCGCAGCCAAGUCCUAAGCCGCCCCUCUUCAGUGAGGGGUGAUAUGGAUGCAGUUCACAGACUAGAUGUCGGUGGGUAUGGCCUAUUCAUUUAGGCCAUGCUUAAGGUAUAGUCGGUCCCCCGUGGAGACACGGGCGACAGGCCAAAGUUUCCAAGUGGAUGAACCCCUCUCCUCACCCCCUAAGUUUAGGGAGAGAGAGAGAGAGUACUUGGUUACCCGAAGCCUGUUGGGAAGGUUUCUCACCAUUUAUGGUUGGGGG
RNAcentral lists this non-coding RNA (1401 nucleotides) under Helicotubeufia jonesii. RNAcentral describes it as "eukaryotic LSU rRNA". It matches the Rfam family "Eukaryotic large subunit ribosomal RNA", at positions 75 to 1162 of the family's 3401-position model. The record is from RNAcentral. Lineage: Eukaryota; Fungi; Ascomycota; Dothideomycetes; Tubeufiales; Tubeufiaceae.